This 992-nucleotide long non-coding RNA is filed under the name Coccomyxa subellipsoidea. RNAcentral's name for it is "long non-coding RNA (CSUB_LNC000740)". The record is from RNAcentral. Lineage: Eukaryota; Viridiplantae; Chlorophyta; Trebouxiophyceae; Coccomyxaceae.
GCAGCGACUGGGAGGAGGUGUCGGAGGAGGGGGAGGCGGACGAUGGCGAGGAGGCGCUGUCGGUGCCGGGGCUGCUGGGCCAGGACCUGCUGGACAUCACCGCCGCGCAGGCAGCCGCCGGCGACGACCUCGGAAACCUGCUGCGGGUGCGCACUGUGCCACGGGCCGUCCCUGCACGCUGGUGCCGUUUGAGCUGUGCAAGGUUGAUGCAGACAGCGAAUCAGCUUAGCUGCUGCCAGUCCCUGGCCUGCCUGCUCGCUUGCCAGGACAAUGUAGAUUUGUGGUGUUGACACGAUGAAACCUUGAAAGGCUCUGCCAUCAUGGAGAAUGCCCAGGCAUGCUCUGUUGAGAAAUGGUGAUUUUUGUUGUGAAGGCAUCCCACUUAGUCAGUCUGCUGUGCCUGACGGUGUCGUGCAAAGCCAUUCUCCUGCCCAUUGCCGUGGAAAACUCCCAGAUCUGUGAUGACUAGACAUUCAGAAGGGUGCUGAGCGUGAGAUGGGUCGAUGUGCAGACGGACCCGGAGCUGAGGAAUGACCCCAUGGCCAAGCUGGACCUGGCAGCGUUUGUGGGAGAGCAGCUGAGGGCCCUAGCGCAGAGGGACAGCGCCUUCUUCAAUGAGUGCUGCAGCCAAGUGGCUCCUGCGCAGCUGGCAGCCGUGAAGCAAUGUUUCCAGUAGAUUACUGUAGACGUACAGAGAAGGGAAUUUGGCAUCUGGCCCAAAACGAUGACCAAAUGUCUUGCUAACACAUGAAUUGCAAGGCAUGGGCUCUCUCCACACUGAUGUUGUCUGACUUGUCCUGCAAAUGAUCCAAUGAACAAUUUAUUGCAGUGACUGCAUCUGUCCGAACAAAUGUGGGAGUGUUUAAAGAAUAUAGGACAUGCUGCUGAGCUCCCCGUGAGGACCAUUUAUGCGUACUGUGCUCGAAUGACACCUUGGAGGCCCUGAAUGUGAAAUUACCAAUGGGGCUCAUCUGCCAGUUGCAAUGUGCAGA